AUGAACGCUAGCGACAGGCCUAACACAUGCAAGUCGAGGGCAGCACAUAAGGUAGCUAAUACUUUUGGUGGCGACCGGCGCACGGGUGAGUAACACGUAUGCAAUCUACUGUAAGCGGGAAUAACCCGGAGAAAUUCGGACUAAUACCGCAUAAUACCACGAAUUCGCAUGAAUUUGUGUGUUAAACAUUUAUGGCUUACAGAUGAGCAUGCGUAUGAUUAGAUAGUUGGUAGGGUAACGGCUUACCAUGGCUACGAUAGGUAGGGGUCCUGAGAGGGAGAUCCCCCACACUGGUACUGGGACACGGACCAGACUCCUACGGGAGGCAGCAGUGAGGAAUAUUGGACAAUGGGCGCAAGCCUGAUCCAGCCAUGCCGCGUGCAGGAUGACGGUCCUAUGGAUUGUAAACUGCUUUUAUACAGGAAGAAACACUCCGACGUGUCGGAGCUUGACGGUACUGUAAGAAUAAGGAUCGGCUAACUCCGUG
This 487-nucleotide ribosomal RNA is filed under the name uncultured bacterium. RNAcentral's name for it is "bacterial SSU rRNA". It matches the Rfam family "Bacterial small subunit ribosomal RNA", at positions 29 to 507 of the family's 1533-position model. The record is from RNAcentral.